RNAcentral lists this long non-coding RNA (10040 nucleotides) under Solanum melongena (eggplant). RNAcentral describes it as "long non-coding RNA (SMEL_LNC000213)". The record is from RNAcentral. Lineage: Eukaryota; Viridiplantae; Streptophyta; Magnoliopsida; Solanales; Solanaceae.
CUGCUUCUUGAUCAAUUUUCAAAUUGUUCAAAUAGAUUCUAAAAAUCUGUUCACGACCUCUUAUAUCUGGUUUGUCAAUGGUAAUCUGGCGAUCAAAUCGACCAGGCCUUAACAAUGCUUUGUCUAAUAUAUCAAGUCUAUUUGUGCCAGCAAGCACAACUACACCAGAUGUGGUUGCAAAUCCGUCCAUUUCUACAAGUAGUUGAUUUAAAGUUCUUUCACGUUCAUCAUUUGCUCCAGAAGAGUGUCCCCUCCCUCUUGAACCACCAAUUGCAUCAAUCUCAUCUAUGAAAAUAAUACUAGGUGCACAUCGUCUUGCCUCCCGAAAUAAACUCCUAACUCUACCUGGUCCAAUACCAACAAACAUCUCCAAAAAAUCUGAACCAGAGAUAGAGAGAAAAGGUACACCAGACUCUCCUGCUGUAGCUUUAGCUAAGAGUGUCUUUCCAGUCCCGGGAGGACCCACUAGAAGAGCACCCUUAGGGAUUUUGGCUCCCAACUCCUCAUAUUUCUUGGGAUUCUUAAGGAAGUGGACAAACUCCAUGAUUUCUUGCUUAGCCUCGUCACAUCCAGCCACAUCCUUGAAGAAGACCUGUUCAAUAAAAAUGCCAACUGACUUUAAUUUCCAACUAAUCAUGAAUUAAAACUGAUUCUCAGUGAAAAGAAUGUUGGUUAUUUUAAAGCUGCAUCAAUAAUGGAACUAAAUUCUCACCUUGUUCUUUGCAUUUUUGUCCAUCUUCAUGAAACGCGGUUUACCAAUACCAAAUAUUCCACUAACACCUCCCCAAUCCAUGUAAUAAAGGAUAGCAAGAGGCAAUACCAUUACACCAAACUUCAUCAUUUCUGGCAACCAAUCCAACUCAUUAACAUAUACCACAGGGACAUAAUUGCGAGGGUCUAUUCCAGAGGCUUCUUGGGCUUCCUUAAGCUUCUGCUCAAAUAACACAACAUUCCCAAUGUUGAAAUAAUAUUUGUGGUGGCUCAGGUUUCUACUACUAUUUGUACAAAUUAUAGGACCUUGAACUGUGUUAUCACAAGUUUGAUUAUUAUCAGGUGAAGAAUUCCUUAUAUAAACUGUGGCUACUUCUUUGUUAGCAACAACAAUUCGAUCAACAUGACCAGGUUCAAGUAGCUUGUUUUUGAACUCUUGGAAGCUAAUCUGCGAAUUCACAGAAAAAGAAGUAUCCAUGUCAAAGAGAAAACACAACUAUCCGAUGAGAAUAAGGCAAACAGUUUCCCCCUCCAAGAAAGUAGAAUCCUGCUAAGUCACCAGUCACGACUAAAAAGAUAUAACAUAUACAGAAUUCUGUUGCUUCUUUAAUUUCAUAGCUACACUGUAAAACCUUGAGUAGUAGUUCUUCAACAAUAUAAUCCACCUUAAUAUAUUAUUACUUUUAUAAAUAUUAAUAUAACCAAUUAGAUUAAGAAGAAUAUGUUUCAACUUGGCAAGCUAAAACUGAGAUGAAAUUGUCACGUACUUGACUGAAAUAGCACGAGCAAAGCUUCUUUAUAUGGCAUUUGAUAUAAGUAGUUCUAGUUUUAAAAACAACUAAAUGAAGUUGACUUCAUCUCAAAGACCAACUCAAAACCGAUUCUUCGAAACCAAACUAAGAAUUUCAUCCAUGAAAGUUUCCAAAUUAAACACAUUGAUAGCAGAAAUAAUGCAAUCAACUUAUAUUGAACUCACACUCCUCAAGGCACUAAACUCAUCCUACCAUAAAAGAAAAAGGAGCUGAAACAACGAGAGUUAAAAUCUGUACAACAAACUGUUGGUUAAGGACUAACCUCCUCCGAAUCAAGAUGGUUCAGGAGUAAUAUUGACAACAGAACAGAACCAAUAAACAGAAUCAAUAGUAUAUAGUGAUGCUGCUUCAUGAAGUUCUUUAUUGAUGAAGGUUGCUUCAUGAAGUUCUUUAUUGAUGAAGGUUGCUUCAUGAAGUUCUCCUAAAGGUUUCCUUGUUCACUUACACUUUGCUCUGCCAAAGAUUAAACCAAAGAAACAAAAAUUCACCAUAACAAGCUAAAGGGGAACAAAACAUUAAAAGAAUAAUCUGGAGAAACAGGAAUUAGAGCAGCAACCGACGAAGGGCUGAUCAUGUCAAAUAAUGUUACUUAUCACUUAUUCCACACAUAAAGGUUUUCACACUAGGAAUUUCAAUACGCUGUUCUGAUUAGUAUACAAACACAUUUAGACCAUUGUUAAGACGUAAUAUUAAAAUCAACUGCUUACUACUUUUUCAGUUCAGAAACUCUUAAAAGAAACACAAUAGCAGAAAAUUAACACUCAGCAUAUUCCUGAUAAUUUCCUUUGUCUGCUUUCUACACACCACACAAGAAAAGCACACUCAAAUUCUGCCCAACCUUUCCAUUUCCAUCACCAUUUACAGAUAAAGUAUCUUUGUCUUGGAAUAGCAUAAAUCAUUUAGAUCUCUACAACCCAAACUCUCUUCCACUUUGUAGAUUUCAUAAUCAGUAUUCUCAUCUUCGUAAUAUUCCAAAUGAUUUAGAUCUCUAUUACUAUCUCUAGAAAAUUUCUUAUUGGUUUUGCACGAAGUCUAAUAAUCAAUUUCCUAUGUAGAGUACAUCUACACAUUUCCUUUUGAUAAGUAAAGAACAUCUCGAUUCUAGACAUUAUCUCUAAUAAUACAAAAUUUAUAUAAAUAUGAAUAUAUAUGUAAUGAUAUCGAAUUCAAAAAUUUUAUAUAUUAUAUUGAACAAACUGAGAAAAAAAUUGAUAUAAUUCCUACAAUUAACAUAUCCAAGAAAGUUUUGCUAGAUCACUUCAAAUAAUUUUACUCCAUGUCUCCAUCAUAUGUUCUCUAAUAUCAAAUAUAACUGAUCAGUGACAAUCAAACCGGAAUUAGGGGCUAAUUCCUCAAGUGUUCAUCCCACCAGGGGCUGAGCUAGCAUACUGUUAGGGGUUCACCACCUUCGGCGGAAAAUUCUACGUUAAGAUUAUUUUUUUAUGUAUAUAUUGUAGAUGUCAAACCCCCAUCAAUUAGUUCCUGUAUUCACUUCUUCUGAUUUUGAACCCCAGCUCCACCACUGCAUCCAACUUAAUAAUUUUUCAACAUAAGUUCGUAAACUAAUUUUUAUCACUUUGAAACUAUUAGACUUAUGAUUGGUCUCUCAAAAAUAUAAAAAAUUCAGCUAAAAUACCAAUGUAGCUAAAAAAGAAAACAUUUUUCCCAAACCCUGAAAUACAUUUGGCUCUAGAAAAUGCAAAAUCUAAAAGAUACUGUUCUCCAAUGAGAUUAUUGAUGAUCGUGCCUUAAAGAUUCAUUAUUAUCAACAUAUUCCAUCUCUGUUUCAGCAAAUUACAACCAGGAGCACUGGGCAGAGCUACAAUUUUGUGUAGGUUCAGCAAAACCCGUUAAUUUUGGUUCAAACUCUAUGUUUGUACUUAAAAAUCAAUACGCAUAGUACAUAUAACCUAAUACGCUGAUAAAAAAUUCAGAACCCAUAAACUCAAAAUUCUAGAGCCGCCUCUGAAUUUGAAUAUACAACACGAUGAUUGGUUAGGCUUAUAGAUUUCACCAAAUGGUAGAAAAAAAAUAGUUUAUUAUGGUAUAAUUAAGACCUAGUCUGAUAUUCACCAUUAUUAUCAGAGAGUUUGAUGAACUUACCUGUAAUGUUAGCAGAAAUGGCAAUAUCGAAUGGCUUGGUGGGGGAAGAAAGACCUAGGUGUUAUUAUUUAGAGGAAUUAUACGGAAAUUUAAACAAAUAUAUUGGUCAACAUAAAUAUUAUUAUAUGUAAUAUAACAUUAAAAAUUAUUUUGUGGGUUGUUCUUUUAUUUUUUUUCAAAGAGGUGGGUCAGUGUUUUGUUUUUAGUUGUUGUGAUGGCCAUUUAUCAAGUAAAUGAUUUAUGUUGUAAUAUACUCUAUUAUUAAUAAUAUACAUUUCUCAUUUACUACUGUAAUGAGAAGCUUAAUGCUUAUUUGACAAGGCUAAAUACAUAUAUUUUCAAACAAGUUUAAUCAAAUAUUCAAAAAGCAAGUUUUAAAAUUGAUUCGUUAAACAUGAAUUACUUUUUAUUGAAAGUGAUUUUGAAAAAAAAAUACUUCUCAAAAUAAGUUGAUUUUAGACAUAUAGUCCAUCAACCUAGUAAUCACAUUUAUAUUACGAUUUUUUAGCUUUUAGAUCAUCACACAAACAACAUGAAGCAUUUAUGAUCUUAAAAUAAGUUGAUUUUAAAAGUUAAUUCAAACAAAUUAAUAGUCAUACAAAUAUUAUGAUAUCUUUAAGAUCACAGGUUUUUCAAAGGAGUCAUAAUUAGACAAAUGUUACGAUAUAUUUAUGAUAAUAAAUUUUAAAAGUUUUCAUUUUUUUAAGUUUUAUUGUCUCGAUCUCAUAUUAUUUAUUAAAAAUAAGUAUCUCAAAUUAUUUAUCAAUUUAUAAAAUAAGGACAAAAUUAAUCAACUUUUUUCUUGUUUUAUGUUUAAAAUUAAUUUUUUGAAAGUUGAGAUGUUAUAAAAUUCCAAAACAUAUUAUAUUAUUAUUGUUGGUAUUGAUAGAUAAGUUGCAAGAUAUAUGCCUAAAUUGACUUUAUUACCAACUUUGAAUUUUGACAUGGAUAACUGUAAUCACUAUAAUAUGAUAUUUGUCAUUUGUUCUAGAUUAGCAAUUGUUUAUUAAAUAUACUAAAUAGUAAUCUAGACAGCCUAAGUAAAUGAUUUACUUGUAUAAGGGUCCUUCCCACGAAUAUCUUUAUGUUGGAUGGUGUUUAAUUUUUAUUUUUUAAAUUGCAGUUUUUAUUUUUUUCUCUUUUUAACACUUAACAAAAGAUGAUUAAGAAUAUCUCAGUUAUUGAAAAAACAAACGACUUUCGAAAAUAUUCAUAUUUAUGUAUCAUAAUAUUUCACAAAUUAUGCCAUUAAAAAAAUAUAAAAAAAAGUUGAUCUUUACCGAAGUAACUAAGAUUUUUUUGUCUUAAUAAGUUCGUUUUAUAGUAUUCCAUGAAUCAUGUUAAAUGCUAGGAGGACAUAAUAUAUUUUCCACAAAAAAAUUAUAGUAAAUUCCGAAAAAUGAGUGCAUAACUAAAUUUCUACAUAGUUUAGGUCAAAUGAGACAAAAGUGAUCAAAAAUCAUGUCGAGCAAAUUAGAUGUGAAUAAAUAAGAAUAAAUUAAUCCAUAAAUUUCAUUAGAAAAAACUAAAUACCUUCAAAUUUGAGAAUACAACGAGAAGUAUGAUCCAGAAAUGAUAAAAUGUACGCAAAUAAGUAAAGAAGUUGUUAUCGAAAAAAGAUACUUGGAUCGGGUAUCAAUUACACGAAGUAUGAUCAAGAAACGAUAGAAUAUACGUAAAUAGGUAGAGAGGUCAUUUUUGAAAAAAUGAAUCAGGUAUUGAUUACACGAUUGAUAGUGACCGUAUAAUUUUGUUUUACCUCAAGACUACGACACCGAAAAAGAGAAACUUAACUUCAGUUAAAAUUCGAAUGUCAUUAGGAACCCAAAUUAGUUCACAAAAAUCUCUUUUCCUUUUUUUAUUUUCCUUUUUGUAAUAAAUGGUUCUUUUGGGUACAAAAACUAGUAAAAACCACGUUUGUGUUAUCAAUGUCAUGACUAAGGAUUUUUACAACAAUCUAAAAUUGGACGUUAAUACCACUACACUGCAUUCUCAAUUACCAACCACAACUAUACUGGGACAAUCUCCGGUUCAACAGGCGAUGAUGAUCCAUCAUCUUGUGCGGUUUUUGACUCAGCGCUAUCUUUGUUCUCUUCUUCGAAUCCUUGCUUGAACCUGUCAUAGUUUGUGGCCUCAACACUCGUGAAUGGGCGUUCACCCAAUACCUGGAUCAGAUCUUCUUGGUGGAGGACUUCCUUUUCAAGCAGCAUUUCUGCAAUCUGAGCCACAUGUUCUCUGUGUUCCUCCACGAGUUGUACAGUACGGUCAUAUGCCUUGGCUACCCAUUCUCUAACUUCAGUGUCGAUAAUUGCUGCUGUCUUGCUACCAUAAGGCUUUGCGUCAAAUGAAUCUUCUCUUUGUGGAAACGAAAGGAGACCAACCUUGUCACUGAAACCAUAUACUGCUACCUGGGCAUAAGUCAUCUUGGUGACUUUCUCUAAAUCAUUUUGAGCUCCAGUCGAGAUCUUCCCAAUCAAUACCUACUCAAAAAAAUAAUCAUAUAAAGAUUGUAAAUAUCUAAUUCACUGCCUUUUCAAUAAGGUAGUAUCCAGACGUCUCAAAAAGAAAAAAGUGCCAUGAGCCAUUCAAAGUUUAAAAACCAAGCUUAAAUAAGUUCAAAUGAUCUUCAACUCUGUAACUCAAAACCUUCUGCCCCUUGCAAAGCACAAGAUUUAGAUUACAGAAUAACAGCAAAUUUAAAGACAUAUCUCUGCAGAGCAUGAAAGAAAUUCUACACAUGUGCCAAAGGAGUAGGGAUGGCACUCAAGGACGAUGAAGCAUUAACCAGCCUAAGUUCUAAAACCAAAAAGAGAACACUGAUCAUGUAAAAACACAUAUUUCAUGAGAAAGGUAAAAGAAAAUAUAUGAUACAACUAGAAAAUAACUGAACCAAGCAGUAGCCAUGGUAAAAAUAAAAAGGUGGCAUAUUACUUGGUGAAGUAGAUUCACCUUUCAAUCAAUCAAAAUCCCUUCCCGAACUGUACAAGCUUUUUCUUCCAAAGCAUACAAAUCUCUUACGUCUCAUCCUCCCGUACCCGUCGCUGCCUGGCCUCCCUCUGUCCCAUUAUAUGUGAUGGUGUUUGGCUAUGCAUGAAGUUAAAGAAAGACGGACUUUUGAAACUUGUGGUCUAAAACAAGUCAUUAGACAAUGUUUGGCUAUAAAUCCUCUUAUUAUUAAGGGUAUAAUUAGAAGUUUAAAGUUAAAUCAUUUCUCAAUAUAAAAAAGGUGUCAAUUGUUUUUGGCACCGACCGGAAGGAUAGUGUGCCACGUAAAAUGGGAUAGAGGUAUACAGUUUUGAUGUUUUCUUUGUUUUUUCUAUUUAAGGGUUUCAAGAUUUUAACAAUAUACCAAAUAUAAUCCCACAAAGUAAGGUCUGGAAUUUCAAGUUUUUGAUUGUUAAAAAUAAAGCUAGAGUCCGUAACGAGCCUACCCCUUGCCUUGCCGGCACUAUAGCUCAAAAUUUUGGUGGAAAUGCCCAGUCCUGCUAUGUUUAAAAGCCCACCUACCUCGUCCCACUAACCCCCCUCCCCCCCGGUCCCUACAAGAAGUGGCUUCAAGAUAUCAAAUUUGCUUUAGAUCAGGGGCUUAGACUGCUUUGCAUGAAUGGUUUCAUACAUGCAUCAAAUGUGUACUAUUUUUUUUUUUUGAGACAAGGGAAAUCCGCAGCCGCUACCCUCUGAGUCGCCCAAGACAAAACCCCCCUCCUAUGCAAUAGCUCGCAAACCACGUAGGAGAGGUAACCCUCAUUAAGCAAGCUCGGUGCGAUGAGCUCGACCCAGAAGGCAAACCCCUUGCUUUCGCUGGCAAGGGGUUUCGAACUUGAGACCUCCAACAUGGAAGUCCCAAGCCCAAACCACUAGGCCACCGGAAGGGUCUGUGGUUUACUAUUUUCUUCAAUAAAUCAAGUCUUAAUGCCAAUAGGGUAAACAUAUGAAAGCAAAGAGAGUUGAUAGUUUUACCUGCUCAGCAGCUCGGCCACCGAGAGUCAUGCAUGUCAUAUCAAACAGUUGUUCUUUAGUCAUUAGAAGGUUCUCACUAGGAACAUACUGAGCAAAUCCAAGGGCUGCUGUACCACGGGGAACAAUUGUCACUUUAAGUAAUGGCUCUGCAUGUUCCAAGAACCAACCAGUAACAGCAUGCCCAGCUUCGUGAUAGGCAACUGUCCGCCUUUCCAGCUUACUUAUGACCUGACGAAACCACAAAUGUUACUUUGAAUUAUAUUAUUAUUUAUACAACACAUCCAGCGUGAUCUCACAAGUGGGGACUGGAGAGGGUAGAGUGUACGCAGGCCUUACCCCCUAAUAUCAAACUAGUAGAAAGACUGUUUCCUAAAGACCCUAGGCUCAAAUGCAGCAAAUCAAAAUUAUUAAAUGAUCAAAUUAGAAAAUCAUUUCUAUAUUUCUAUUUUGAUUCUAUAAAAAUGCAAGUUUCAUUUUUGAAUGAAGUUAGACGCGAAUUAGUUGACUUGAAGAGAACACGUCAACUAAUAAGGAAAGCAGUACAAAACAUUCAGAAAAUUCAAGAUAAAAGAGCAGUAACAACAGAAAAAUAUUUGUUCCAUUUGCAAGUCCUUACUAAUAUCUAAAGAUUGCCUAAUAUCUAAAGAUUGCCCACCAGCAAUUUUCAAAAGCAUCUCAAAAAAUGUUGAUCCCAAGCAUACAUCACUCAGGUCGACAUUCACCAAAGUUCCCUUUUUAUAUUGAGUAAAAAGAAAAGACACUGAAGCAAAAGGAAAAAAAAAGAAUCAUCUAAUGUCAUCAACAAGAAAGUAAAAAAGGUGUCGAAGCAAAGAAUAUCAUGCAUGAAACCCACUGUCUGCUUAUGCCACUGGUGAUGAACUCACUAUGGCUAUUUAAUGACAGACUCAUUUUUCCUUACUACAUAUGCAGCUAAACGAAGCCCCAAUCUUUAUUUUUCAAACCCCAACUGCCUUAUUAAAAGGCCAACAUUUUCGGAGGGGUGGGGUGGGUUAGGACACAAACAGAAGGUUAACAAUAACCAGGGACCGUACCACACAAAGUAGCUCUUAGAGUCCUUGGGUGUAGCAUCAAAUGACAAAAGGCUCAAUAAAUAUAGACAAGAUUUCCUACUCAAUUGGAUCCAAAACAGUUCAAACGCAUUGGAUGACAGAAUAUUCAGAAGACGUACUACUCUAGAAGUAUAAAUUCAGAUGAGCAAUAUUAGACAGGCUAAAUAAUUUCUUCCAAUGCAGUAACAUCUUCCUGUACAAUUUUAAUAGUAGACAGCUUGAAUAAUUCCUUAAAAUACAGUGCCAUCUUCCAAUAAUUCUUGCAAUAUUAGACAGGUCGAGAAUAUUGAAAUGCCAGGUUCAGGUGUGAGUUAGGACUAAAAUUAGUUCCAGUAAGCACUGAAAGAAACGGUGACAUGUUUAGGGGGAUCCCUAGGUAUUUUGCCAAAUUUUGAAGUAUCCUAUCUUGUGCCACAGUGGUUUACCCCAAGCCUCCAAGAGACUGUUCACCAACCUCGCAUGCUCUUCUCAUUACAGAAAGAACUCAAUAGUGUGACUGAAUUACAGUAAAAAUCCUAAUAUGAACAGGUAAAAUAUUUUCCACACUAAUUAUAAAACAAAAGAGAAAUUUACUUGUUAAAAAUUGAGGCAAUUUGUCUAAAUUCAGAUGGUAGAACAUUGUAUCAACAUCCUAAUUGUUCCCCAAGGAAAUAAAGCAAACCUCUCCUAUAAAUACACUCAUCUAAGCAAACCUCUCCUACAAAUACAGUCAUCUAAGCAAACCUCUACUAAGCAGUAGAUUUAUAAUGCUCCAGUACCUACGGAUAUUGGUCCAAUGCACUUUCAAGGAUAAGUUAAAUGAAUCCUAUCAUUAUAAUAAAAACAAAUGGCUUUGACAACCAAGAUGCAGAAAAAGAUGAACAGAACAUCAUACAAAAUGCUGCUGGUGUAACGAUGCAACAUGCUUCCCUAUGUUGUUAUGUAAACAUGGGAUAGAAAAGUAUAUAGUGGAGGGGGAAGUGAGAAGAUCCAAUACCUUAUUCUUCUUCUCUAAACCGCCAAUCACCCUGUCUAUUGCUGACUCAAAAUGUUGCAUGGUAAUUAUUGUACUCUCAUUCCUGGCAGCUAUUAGAGCAGCUUCAUUACAAACAUUUGCAAUGUCUGCUCCAGCAAAUCCUGGUGUUAGAGCAGCAAGUCUCUGUGAAUAAAAUGCUGCCUCGUGGUCAAGUUUCAACUUGUUGAGAUAGAUUCUGAAAAUUUGUUCACGGCCUUUGAUGUCUGGUUUAUCAAUGGUAAUUUGGCGAUCAAAUCGACCAGGCCUUAAUAAGGCUUUGUCUAAUAUAUCAGGUCUAUUUGUGCCAGCAAGUACAACUACACCAGAUGUGGUUGCAAAUCCAUCCAUUUCUACAAGCAGUUGAUUUAAAGUACUUUCACGUUCAUCAUU